AGGUUUUAAAGCUACUGUUCACUUGGUGAACUGGGCAGGGACAGAGGAAAGAAGAGCCCAAGGGAUCCCCAGAAGGGGAUGGUUCAGCAGGAGGUGGUCAGAGGAGAAGGGCGACAGGGGUGAAGGGAAGACUGGGAGGAGAAAGGAGUGGAAAAUCAAGGGGAAAGCAAGGAGGACUUAAGGCAGUCACAGACAUUGAUGAGUGAUCAUUUAUGACAUUGAUACGGGUGACAGCUGGGAUUUUAUGAAGCAUUUGAAAGAGUGACAUGAUUUUUAGGUAUUUUGAGUCUUUUCCACGGCUGUGCGAUAAGGGAAAUGCAGCUGCAAGAAGGCAUAUGGCUCAGAUAAGAGGAAGCUAAUAAACAUAUGAAUGAGGUUUAAACCCAGUUAGAUCAAAGGAAUACAUUUGGCUAUUCUCAUAACAAGGGCUUUAUCCUUCCCUUGCUAUUUUCCUCAGAUAGGAAACUCAUCCUUUAGUCCCAGGGCAGUUUAGCCUUUUUCUCUAGGUCUCCAAACAGCACUUGUGAGAAUAUAAAAAGAAAAUUGAUCUUCUACCUUACAUUUGCUUCCAGCACAGCCCUCUGAUUCUUUCUAGUCUCAGCUGCUCACUCGCCAGCAUCACCCUCAGUCCUUCACAGCUGCACCCACCCCAAGCACCAGCUGCAACCCCUCACUAGCCCUGGCACCCCUGGAUCAGGCCAGGACGUUCCAUAACUCUGGCCCUGAUCUGGGGAAAGGUGCAGCAAGCAGGACAUGCACACUUGGGUCUUACCUUUUUCCAGGAGUGAGGCCAGAGCCAAUGAACACACCUGGAUGCAGUGACCUGGAUAGUCUGCCUGCAAGGCUGCUCACACCUCCUACACCUGCCAGCACUGAUAAGAGCCACCAUCACUCUCUGUUGCAAGCCCUGACACCACAGCUAAAGCUUCCAGGACUUGUUUUACCUGUCUGGAACUUAUCAGCUAUGUGAUGCUGGAGGAGAAAGACUUCUGGAGUCCAGAAGAGGUGAAGCAUGAGCCCAGCUGUUCUGUCUGCAUUAUUCAAUGUCUUCUGCUUCAUCAACCACAGAUCUAAUGUCCUGGUCACUGUGCCCUUCCCCACCAGCCCAAACACCAUGGCCCUUUCUUGCAUACACCAAUUUCCUUUAUUUUAAUUGUGGCCUCUUAUUCACAAAAAUCAGUCUGUUUUACACAAUCUAGUCCUACACAGCAUGGGUAAUAUAUAGAUAAAUACCUAGGUGGCUGCAUUUCUAUUGGUUCAGCACAAUACAUGCAUCCAGUGAUCAAUAAAAUACAAAUUUGGAAAAGUGGAGAUCA
This 1316-nucleotide long non-coding RNA is filed under the name Cyanistes caeruleus (blue tit). RNAcentral's name for it is "lncRNA (ENSCCEG00000020715.1)". Lineage: Eukaryota; Metazoa; Chordata; Aves; Passeriformes; Paridae. The record is from RNAcentral.